UUGGAGGGCAAGUCUGGUGCCAGCAGCCGCGGUAAUUCCAGCUCCAAUAGCGUAUAUUAAGGUUGUUGCAGUUAAAAAGCUCGUAGUUGAAUUUCGGGGUUAGUAGGUUGGUCAUGCCACUGGUAUGUACUGGUCUCACUGAUUCCUCCUUCCUGAUGAGCCGUAAUGCCAUUAAUUUGGUGUUGCGAGGAACCUGGACUGUUACUUUGAAAAAAUUAGAGUGUUUAAAGCAAGCUAACGCUUGAAUACAUUAGCAUGGAAUAAUGAAAUAGGACGUUCGAUCCUACUUUGUUGGUUUCUAGGAUUGACGUAAUGAUUAAUAGGGAUAGUUGGGGGCAUUAGUAUUCAAUUGUCAGAGGUGAAAUUCUUGGAUUUAUUGAAGACUAACUACUGCGAAAGCAUUUGCCAAGGAUGUUUUCAUUAAUCAAGAACGAAAGUUAGGGGAUCGAAGACGAUCAGAUACCGUCGUAGUCUUAACCAUAAACUAUGCCGACUAGGGAUCGGAUGAUGUUAAUUUUUUAAUGACUCAUUCGGCGCCUUACGGGAAACCAAAGUGUUUGGGUUC
RNAcentral lists this ribosomal RNA (565 nucleotides) under uncultured Glomeromycotina. RNAcentral's name for it is "SSU rRNA". It matches the Rfam family "Eukaryotic small subunit ribosomal RNA", at positions 548 to 1114 of the family's 1831-position model. Lineage: Eukaryota; Fungi; Glomeromycota. The record is from RNAcentral.